RNAcentral lists this ribosomal RNA (503 nucleotides) under uncultured bacterium. RNAcentral's name for it is "partial 16S ribosomal RNA". It matches the Rfam family "Bacterial small subunit ribosomal RNA", at positions 30 to 523 of the family's 1533-position model. The record is from RNAcentral.
AUUGAACGCUGGCGGCAGGCUUAACACAUGCAAGUCGAGCGGGGUGAUGGUGCUUGCACUAUCACUUAGCGGCGGACGGGUGAGUAAUGCUUAGGAAUCUGCCUAUUAGUGGGGGACAACAUCUCGAAAGGGAUGCUAAUACCGCAUACGUCCUACGGGAGAAAGCAGGGGAUCACUUUUGACCUUGCGCUAAUAGAUGAGCCUAAGUCGGAUUAGCUAGUUGGUGGGGUAAAGGCCUACCAAGGCGACGAUCUGUAGCGGGGCUGAGAGGAUGAUCCUCAACACUGGGACUGAGACACGGCCCAGACUCCUACGGGAGGUAGCAGUGGGGAAUAUUGGACAAGGGGGGGAACCCUGAUCCAGCCAUGCCGCGUGGGCGAAGAAGGCCUUAUGGUUGUAAAGCACUUUAAGCGAGGAGGAGGCUCUUUUGGUUAAUACCCAAGAUGAGUGGACGUUACUCGCAGAAUAAGCACCGGCUAACUCUGUGCCAGCCGCCGCAGUAA